This 110-nucleotide small nuclear RNA is filed under the name Stegodyphus mimosarum. The record is from RNAcentral. Lineage: Eukaryota; Metazoa; Arthropoda; Arachnida; Araneae; Eresidae.
GUUUUAUUUGCUUCGGCAGUACAUAACCUAAAAUUGAAAUGAUACAGAGAAGAUUAGUAUGGUUCCUGCGCAAGGAUGCCACACAAAAUCAUGAAGCAUUCCACUUUAAA